AUGAGCAGGAGAGAAGGAGGAUCAGAGAGGAGCUGCAGGGGUCCACAUUCUUGCAACUCAGGCUGUCUUCUGGUCUUCGAAAGGUCCUUUUUGGCACGGCUCUUGGUACGGUCGCCCUAGCCCUGGCUGCACACCAGCUAAAACGGCACAAGCACAAGAAGAAGCAGAUUACAGCAGGCAAUGGAGGCCUAAAGCUCGGCGGGGUGCCUGGCUCUGUUUUGCCCGUUAGGCGUUCUUCCUCAGCUAAAAAAGUCCACAUUCUUGCAACUCAGGCUGUCUUCUGGUCUUCGAAAGGUCCUUUUUGGCACGGCUCUUAGUACGGUCGCCCUAGCCCUGGCUGCACACCAGCUAAAACGGCACAAGCACAAGAAGAAGCAGAUUACAGCAGGCAAUGGAGGCCUAAAGCUCGGCGGGGUGCCUGGCUCUGUUUUGCCCGUUAGGCGUUCUUCCUCAGCUAAAAAAGUUAAACAUAAAAUGCUUCUAGUCAUCUAUACUUGGGGACGCUGGGAAUCAGAAAGCAGAUUGUUGUCAGAGAUGGACUUGGAGUACUCCUGAGUGAGAUGCCUGCUGCCCAUUUGGAGGCUGCAAAUCUCUGCCGGACUCUGCUCCCUACAGUGUGGAUGGUGAGUCGCGGUAUCCGGCAGGAGGACUGGUGUGACGUACUUAAGGCUUUUCAGCUCACAGGGAAAUUCAGUGAGACUUCCGGAAGCUUUCUCUGUUGGUUCCAAGUUCCGGCCUCUGCCUUGUAUUGUGAAAAAGAAGAAAUCAGUAGAAGGAGGGUCAGAUUGGAGGGGGUUCUCUGGCCUCUGCUGCAGCCACCGCCCCACAUUCAUCCUAACAACCUUGGGCAGAAAACCAGAAAAAUACAGUUACCAGAAAAGGUAAAAAGCAACUCAGACACAGGGGGAAGAUAGAAUCUCCUAGAGCUCCAUGAGGCGUGAGAACCUUGCUUCUGGGGCAGCAUUGCUGAGGCGGGGCAAUGACCAGACGUUGGACCUUCAUGGAGCGACUCGGUCAAAGGUUGAACCUUUUGAGAGGAGCUUGAACUGAUAAUUCUGACUGGCUGAAAAGCACUGCCCUAAGUCUUUCAGGCAUUUCUGGAGUUAAUGGACUGCGUAUACCCCAUUUUCCAGCAACAAUUUGGCAUGUGUGGAGUUAAUGGAAUGCUUAUUGCCCUUUU
Molecule: long non-coding RNA, 1180 nt
Organism: Xenopus tropicalis (tropical clawed frog)
Lineage: Eukaryota; Metazoa; Chordata; Amphibia; Anura; Pipidae
Exons: 9
Source: RefSeq, a predicted model, not a curated record